GCUGGCGGCAGGCCUAACACAUGCAAGUCGAACGGUAACAGGAAGAAGCUUGCUUCUUUGCUGACGAGUGGCGGACGGGUGAGUAAUGUCUGGGAAACUGCCUGAUGGAGGGGGAUAACUACUGGAAACGGUAGCUAAUACCGCAUAAUGUCGCAAGACCAAAGAGGGGGACCUUCGGGCCUCUUGCCAUCGGAUGUGCCCAGAUGGGAUUAGCUAGUAGGUGGGGUAACGGCUCACCUAGGCGACGAUCCCUAGCUGGUCUGAGAGGAUGACCAGCCACACUGGAACUGAGACACGGUCCAGACUCCUACGGGAGGCAGCAGUGGGGAAUAUUGCACAAUGGGCGCAAGCCUGAUGCAGCCAUGCCGCGUGUAUGAAGAAGGCCUUCGGGUUGUAAAGUACUUUCAGCGGGGAGGAAGGGAGUAAAGUUAAUACCUUUGCUCAUUGACGUUACCCGCAGAAGAAGCACCGGCUAACUCCGUGCCAGCAGCCGCGGUAAUACGGAGGGUGCAAGCGUUAAUCGGAAUUACUGGGCGUAAAGCGCACGCAGGCGGUUUGUUAAGUCAGAUGUGAAAUCCCCGGGCUCAACCUGGGAACUGCAUCUGAUACUGGCAAGCUUGAGUCUCGUAGAGGGGGGUAGAAUUCCAGGUGUAGCGGUGAAAUGCGUAGAGAUCUGGAGGAAUACCGGUGGCGAAGGCGGCCCCCUGGACGAAGACUGACGCUCAGGUGCGAAAGCGUGGGGAGCAAACAGGAAUUAGAUACCCUGGUAGUCCACGCCGUAAACGAUGUUGACUUGGAGGUUGUGCCCUUGAGGCGUGGCUUCCGGAGCUAACGCGUUAAGUCGACCGCCUGGGGAGUACGGCCGCAAGGUUAAAACUCAAAUGAAUUGACGGGGGCCCGCACAAGCGGUGGAGCAUGUGGUUUAAUUCGAUGCAACGCGAAGAACCUUACCUGGUCUUGACAUCCACAGAACUUUCCAGAGAUGGAUUGGUGCCUUCGGGAAUUGUGAGACAGGUGCUGCAUGGCUGUCGUCAGCUCGUGUUGUGAAAUGUUGGGUUAAGUCCCGCAACGAGCGCAACCCUCAUCCUUUGUUGCCAGCGGUCCGGCCGGGAACUCAAAGGAGACUGCCAGUGAUAAACUGGAGGAAGGUGGGGAUGACGUCAAGUCAUCAUGGCCCUUACGACCAGGGCUACACACGUGCUACAAUGGCGCAUACAAAGAGAAGCGACCUCGCGAGAGUAAGCGGACCUCAUAAAGUGCGUCGUAGUCCGGAUUGGAGUCUGCAACUCGACUCCAUGAAGUCGGAAUCGCUAGUAAUCGUGGAUCAGAAUGCCACGGUGAAUACGUUCCCGGGCCUUGUACACACCGCCCGUCACACCAUGGGAGUGGGUUGCAAAAGAAGUAAAGAGCUUAACCUUCGGGAGGGCGCUUACCACUUUGUGAUU
This 1445-nucleotide ribosomal RNA is filed under the name uncultured organism. RNAcentral describes it as "SSU rRNA". It matches the Rfam family "Bacterial small subunit ribosomal RNA". The record is from RNAcentral.